GGGCCUAUAGUGAAGUGGUAUCACACGUCCAUGGCAUGGACGGGGUCGGGGUUCGAUUCCCCGUAGGUCCACAA
Molecule: transfer RNA, 74 nt
Filed under: Candidatus Harrisonbacteria bacterium RIFOXYA1_FULL_48_8
Lineage: Bacteria; Candidatus Harrisoniibacteriota
Description: tRNA-Ala
Rfam family: tRNA
About the family: Transfer RNA (tRNA) molecules are approximately 80 nucleotides in length.
Source: RNAcentral